RNAcentral lists this ribosomal RNA (315 nucleotides) under Triticum aestivum (bread wheat). RNAcentral's name for it is "partial small subunit ribosomal RNA". Lineage: Eukaryota; Viridiplantae; Streptophyta; Magnoliopsida; Poales; Poaceae. The record is from RNAcentral.
GCAAAAUCUUUGGCUAGCACACUUGAGACAUUUGAAUUUUUACUUGGCAUGGUCAUUUGGCAUGACAUUUUGUUCACUGUAAACAUGGUGAGUAAGAAGUUGCAGUCUAAGUUUGUGUGCAUUGAUGUUACUCUUAAACAGAUUGAAGGUGCCAUCUCAUAUUUUAAGAAGUACAAAAAUGAUGGCUUUGCAACUAGUCUGGAUAUUGCGAGAUCUAUUGCAAUUGACAUGGGUGUACAACCUUUGUUUCCUGUCAAGAGACGUAUUACUAGAAAAAGACAGUUUGAUGAAAUUAGUGGCAAUGACGAAAAUAAC